RNAcentral lists this long non-coding RNA (449 nucleotides) under Physcomitrium patens. RNAcentral's name for it is "long non-coding RNA (PPAT_LNC003416)". Lineage: Eukaryota; Viridiplantae; Streptophyta; Bryopsida; Funariales; Funariaceae. The record is from RNAcentral.
AUGAAUCUCAACAAUCUUAUUAUUAUCCCCUAACCCAAUAGAUGUAAUCAAUUCCAAUGAAUCUUCUAGUCCAUUUUCUUCAUAAACAUCCAAAAUCCUCUCAUCAUCUUGCAAUGUACCUAUCUUGCGUAAUUGUCCUUCAAUAUUCUAUAAUCUUUUUCUUUCUUUUCUUUUAAAAUCAUCAACUUUCUUAUACAUAAUAUUUCCAUUCUCCAAUAUACCAAUAAAACUCGCAUCAAAGGUACCUUAAUCUCGCAAAAGUACCUCCUCUUUUGUACCUCCAUAAUCUCGCUUUACAGUGGUACCUCCCCAAAAUCCUUAAAUCCUUCAACAAUCUUUGGCAAUGGUUUCUCCCUCAACCUAUCUCGAUUCCGUUCAUGGUUAGGAGGUACUGUUAGAAAUUGUACAGUUUUCCUCCCAUCUUCGCUCCGUACCCUUGCAUAAGUAGA